RNAcentral lists this ribosomal RNA (441 nucleotides) under uncultured bacterium. RNAcentral's name for it is "partial 16S ribosomal RNA". It matches the Rfam family "Bacterial small subunit ribosomal RNA", at positions 338 to 795 of the family's 1533-position model. The record is from RNAcentral.
CCUACGGGUGACAGCAGUGGGGAAUAUUGCACAAUGGGGGGAACCCUGAUGCAGCGACGCAGCGUGGGUGAAGAAGUAUUUCGGUAUGUAAAGCCCUAUCAGCAGGGAAGAACAAUGACGGUACCUGACUAAGAAGCACCGGCUAAAUACGUGCCAGCAGCCGCGGUAAUACGUAGGGUGCAAGCGUUAUCCGGAUUUACUGGGUGUAACGGGAGCGCAGGCGGCGCGUUAAGCCUGGUGUGAAAGUCCGCGGCGCAACCGUGGGACUGCAUUGGGAACUGGCGCGCUGGAGUGCCGGAGGGGUAGGCGGAAUUCGUGGUGUAGCGGUGAAAUGCGUAGAUAUUAGGAGGAACACCAGUGGCGAAGGCGGCCUACUGGACGGUGACUGACGCUGAGGCUCGAAAGUGUGGGGAGCAAACAGGAUUAGAUACCCGGGUAGUC